CCGGUGGAAUUCGACGAACUCGUCGAGGUCUUGAGCAGUCACGAAAUCCGACUGCGGAUGAGGUCGCCGGUGGUCAUCGCGGCAAAUCACACCGAAUCCACUUCGCCGAUCUUCGAUUCCAAUCACACCAGGACGACGCCUCCAAACUACCGCGACCUUCGAGCAUCCGGGACCAGAGAUUUCAAAGCUCCGGCACGCGGUAGGGGACGCCGGGGACGAGGGGGAGAACGACGGGACCCGUGCCCGGUAUGUGGAGUAUAUGGGCACAGCCCAUAUAAAUGUAAUUACCGGGUCCAGCCCAAUAACAAUAAUUAUGGGGAAGCUUCCCGUGGGCCUCAAAUGCAUAUGACUGCAGCCCAAGAGCCCC
RNAcentral lists this long non-coding RNA (367 nucleotides) under Zostera marina. RNAcentral's name for it is "long non-coding RNA (ZMAR_LNC004907)". The record is from RNAcentral. Lineage: Eukaryota; Viridiplantae; Streptophyta; Magnoliopsida; Alismatales; Zosteraceae.